UACAGAGGUCCCAAGCGUUGUUCGGAUUCACUGGGCGUAAAGGGUGCGUAGGUAGCGGGGUAAGUUUGAUGUGAAAGCUCAGGGCUUAACCCUGAAAUGGCAUUGAAUACUACUCUGCUGGAGGUUUGGAGGGGGGACUGGAAUUCUUGGUGUAGCAGUGAAAUGCGUAGAUAUCAAGAGGAACACCAGUGGCGAAGGCGAGUCCCUGGACAACACCUGACACUGAGGCACGAAAGCUAGGGGAGCAAACAGG
Molecule: ribosomal RNA, 253 nt
Filed under: uncultured bacterium
Lineage: Bacteria
Description: partial 16S ribosomal RNA
Rfam family: Bacterial small subunit ribosomal RNA
Source: RNAcentral